GUCCGCUUAGAAUUGCGGCCCAUCAUGGUGGGUUCUGGUCCCGCCGACCUCGGUUCAAAUCCGAGAGAGACUA
RNAcentral lists this transfer RNA (73 nucleotides) under Methanobacteriota archaeon. RNAcentral describes it as "Euryarchaeota archaeon tRNA-Gln". Lineage: Archaea; Methanobacteriati; Methanobacteriota. The record is from RNAcentral.